Molecule: ribosomal RNA, 403 nt
Filed under: uncultured bacterium
Lineage: Bacteria
Description: bacterial SSU rRNA
Rfam family: Bacterial small subunit ribosomal RNA
Source: RNAcentral
GAUGAACGCUGGCGGCGUGCUUAACACAUGCAAGUCAAGGGGGCCCGAGCAAUGGGCAACCGGCGAACGGGUGCGUAACACGUGAGCAACCUACCUAGGUGUGGGGGAUAGCCGGCCCAACGGCCGGGUAAUACCGCAUACGCUCUCUCUUAGGCAUUUAGGGGAGAGGAAACCUUCGGGGCACUAUGAGGGGCUCGCGGCCUAUCAGCUAGUUGGCGAGGUAAUGGCUCACCAAGGCGACGACGGGUAGCUGGUCUGAGAGGAUGGCCAGCCACAUUGGGACUGAGAAACGGCCCAGACUCCUACGGGAGGCAGCAGUGGGGAAUCUUGCGCAAUGGCCUAACGGCUGACGCAGCGACGCCGCGUGAGGGAUGACGCUCUUCGGAGUGUAAACCUCUUUGCC